UGCCACAGCCAUAUCACCCUGCAGCCCAAGACUGGUUGCCCACUGAAGCUAAGCAGGGCUGAGCCUGGUCAGUACCUGGAUGGGAGACCUCCUGGGAAAACUAGGUUGCUGCUGGAA
This is a ribosomal RNA of Sinocyclocheilus grahami, 117 nucleotides long. The record is from Ensembl. NCBI's taxonomy places the organism in Eukaryota, Metazoa, Chordata, Actinopteri, Cypriniformes, Cyprinidae.